Molecule: ribosomal RNA, 1007 nt
Filed under: Penicillium crustosum
Lineage: Eukaryota; Fungi; Ascomycota; Eurotiomycetes; Eurotiales; Aspergillaceae
Description: SSU rRNA
Rfam family: Eukaryotic small subunit ribosomal RNA
Source: RNAcentral
GUGAAACUGCGAAUGGCUCAUUAAAUCAGUUAUCGUUUAUUUGAUAGUACCUUACUACAUGGAUACCUGUGGUAAUUCUAGAGCUAAUACAUGCUAAAAACCCCGACUUCAGGAAGGGGUGUAUUUAUUAGAUAAAAAACCAACGCCCUUCGGGGCUCCUUGGUGAAUCAUAAUAACUUAACGAAUCGCAUGGCCUUGCGCCGGCGAUGGUUCAUUCAAAUUUCUGCCCUAUCAACUUUCGAUGGUAGGAUAGUGGCCUACCAUGGUGGCAACGGGUAACGGGGAAUUAGGGUUCGAUUCCGGAGAGGGAGCCUGAGAAACGGCUACCACAUCCAAGGAAGGCAGCAGGCGCGCAAAUUACCCAAUCCCGAUACGGGGAGGUAGUGACAAUAAAUACUGAUACGGGGCUCUUUUGGGUCUCGUAAUUGGAAUGAGAACAAUUUAAAUCCCUUAACGAGGAACAAUUGGAGGGCAAGUCUGGUGCCAGCAGCCGCGGUAAUUCCAGCUCCAAUAGCGUAUAUUAAAGUUGUUGCAGUUAAAAAGCUCGUAGUUGAACCUUGGGUCUGGCUGGCCGGUCCGCCUCACCGCGAGUACUGGUCCGGCUGGACCUUUCCUUCUGGGGAACCUCAUGGCCUUCACUGGCUGUGGGGGGAACCAGGACUUUUACUGUGAAAAAAUUAGAGUGUUCAAAGCAGGCCUUUGCUCGAAUACAUUAGCAUGGAAUAAUAGAAUAGGACGUGUGGUUCUAUUUUGUUGGUUUCUAGGACCGCCGUAAUGAUUAAUAGGGAUAGUCGGGGGCGUCAGUAUUCAGCUGUCAGAGGUGAAAUUCUUGGAUUUGCUGAAGACUAACUACUGCGAAAGCAUUCGCCAAGGAUGUUUUCAUUAAUCAGGGAACGAAAGUUAGGGGAUCGAAGACGAUCAGAUACCGUCGUAGUCUUAACCAUAAACUAUGCCGACUAGGGAUCGGACGGGAUUCUAUAAUGACCCGUUCGGCACCUUACGAGAAA